UUUAACUGAGCGUUCAGUUACUUGACGUAGACCCGAAACCGGGCGACCUACCCAUGAGCAGGAUGAAGCGAAAGUAAAAUUUCGUGGAGGUCCGAACCCACGAGCGUUGAAAAGCUCGGGGAUGACUUGUGGGUAGCGGUGAAAUUCCAAUCGAGCCCGGAGAUAGCUGGUUCUCCCCGAAAUAGCUUUAGGGCUAGCCUCAAGGUGAGAGAUACGGAGGUAGAGCACUGAAUGUCCUAGGGGGUAUUGCACCUACCGAAGACUAUCAAACUCCGAAUGCCGUCAUCUUAUACUUGGGAGUCAGACUGUGGGUGAUAAGAUUCAUAGUCGAAAGGGCAACAGCCCAGAUCGUCAGCUAAGGUCCCUAAAUGUAAGUUAAGUGGUAAAGGAUGUGGGAUUGCACAGACAACCAGGAUGUUGGCUUAGAAGCAGCCACUCAUUCAAAGAGUGCGUAAUAGCUCACUGGUCGAGUGAUCCUGCGCCGAAGAUUUCCGGGGCUAAAACUUACUACCGAAGCUACGGCAUCAGUAAUGAUGGGUAGGGGAGCUUCCCAUACGGGUUGAAGCAUGACCGUAAGGACAUGUGGACAGUAUGGGAGUGAGAAUGUUGGCAUGAGUAGCGAGAUGUGGGUGGGAAUCCCACAGGCCGUAAACCCAAGGUUUCCAGGGGAAGGUUCGUCCGCCCUGGGGUAGUCGGGACCUAAGCUGAGGCCGAAAGGCGUAGGUGAUGGACAACAGGUUGAUAUUCCUGUACUACCGAUAACCGGGUUAGAGAAGGGAUGACACAGUAGGCUAAGCUAGGCACACUGUUGGUUAUGUUUGCCCAAGCAUUGAGGCAGUCAAAGUAGGCAAA
Molecule: ribosomal RNA, 852 nt
Filed under: Clostridioides difficile
Lineage: Bacteria; Bacillati; Bacillota; Clostridia; Peptostreptococcales; Peptostreptococcaceae
Description: bacterial LSU rRNA
Rfam family: Bacterial large subunit ribosomal RNA
Source: RNAcentral